UGGGGAAUUUUGGACAAUGGGCGCAAGCCUGAUCCAGCAAUGCCGCGUGAGUGAAGAAGGCCUUCGGGUUGUAAAGCUCUUUUGUCAGGGAAGAAACGGUGGGAGCUAAUAUCUCUUGCUAAUGACGGUACCUGAAGAAUAAGCACCGGCUAACUACGUGCCAGCAGCCGCGGUAAUACGUAGGGUGCAAGCGUUAAUCGGAAUUACUGGGCGUAAAGCGUGCGCAGGCGGUUUUGUAAGUUUGUCGUGAAAGCCCCGGGCUCAACCUGGGAAUGGCGAUGAAGACUGCAAGGCUUGAAUCCGGCAGAGGGGGGUAGAAUUCCACGUGUAGCAGUGAAAUGCGUAGAGAUGUGGAGGAACACCGAUGGCGAAGGCAGCCCCCUGGGUCAAGAUUGACGCUCAUGCACGAAAGCGUGGGGAGCAAACAGGAUUAGAUACCCACGUAGUCCCUGAGCGGGCUGGCAAGGCGCAU
Molecule: ribosomal RNA, 472 nt
Filed under: uncultured bacterium
Lineage: Bacteria
Description: bacterial SSU rRNA
Rfam family: Bacterial small subunit ribosomal RNA
Source: RNAcentral